UUUUCACCCAUCGCAAACUCCUCCCACCGGAGUAACACGGGCCAAAUAAUUGAAUCCCCUCAAUGUUUAGAGGUUGGCUUGGCUAGCCUUCGCUCUGAUUGGAGAAACUGGCUCCUAGACAGAGGGGGACCUUGAGUUACCGCGGACUGGCUGUCUAGCUGUAAUGGGGGGCCUGGCCCCGGGCACUCAACCGUCAGAAUUAGCUAAUUGUUAUACAAUAUAGCUAGGUAGCUAAUUAAAGACGGUGGCAGUCUGGUUAAGGUAGGCUUGUAUGGGGUUCUCUCCCCGCAAGUUUGCCUGUGAUUUUAUACCUACGCGAAUGCAGCACGGUUGCAGUAAAAUUGGAACUUCAGCAGCGCGAGCUAGCCCAGCCCCCGCUAGCUGGCUAGCGAACGAGAAUUUGCUAGCGGAUCGGGGCUUCAGUCCGUAUCAGCUUAACCCUCAAACGGAAAUGAACACAGGCUAUGAUGAAUCCUCUGAGAGAAGACUGCAAGUCACUGCCAGUCAGACAAAAGGGGAUCCGCAACGAAACGGCUCACCGUUCCUUCCCUUCCUUCCUGGAAGAAACACUGUCACCCUAAAGAGCAAAUGGAAAAAUGACAUCUGUAUAUUUUAGUUUCAUAUUUUUUUGUUAACAUGUCUAACUUUUUAUUUUAUUUUGGUGUGUGGGGGUAUAGAUGAGAUCAUGAUGACUCUGAAGUUUCAUACCUUCUCUCUCUCUUAUCUGUGAUUUAUUAACAUGUUCGAUAUACAGUAGCCUGUAAGGGACUCUAAGCCUUGACGAUAUGUUUUGUAUUUCGGGAAGGAGAGGAAAAGACUCAGGAAUGUAGUAAUAACACCGAUACCUGGCUGACUUGAGCAGAGUCUCCUACAUCUGAGACCUAGCCUGGUCCCGAGAUCUGUUUGUGCUGUCUUCCGUGACAUUGGCAAGAUGGCACAAACCGAUUUGGAACCAGGCGAGCAGAGGCCCAACAUCUGCGUUUUCAAACUCUACCGGUGGCCCCUUUUUUGGGGGGGCUGAGUAUAGUAACUGACAGGCAGCAGCAUGUCAUCCACUCUUCCACAGAACAUAGUUGAAACAGCUGCUGGAUCCUCCAUGUUUUAACACUCAUCCAGUUCUAUCUGCUCUGUUCACCUCACACACUCAUCAGCAUUGAUCUCUGCUUAACACCAUGUGUAGUUAGGCCUAGACUUAUCAUUGUCUGUACAAACACACUUUAAAAAAAUUAAUCAAAUGUUUAUUUGUGACAUGCUUCAUGAACUACAGGUGUAGACUAACAGUGACAUUCUUUAAGAGUCUUUUUCGAACAAUUCAGAGUUUAAAUCUUGAAAGGGAGUGGUUCCACCUCGACGCAUAACCAUUCAAACAUUGGGUUCGGUAUUUUACCUCUAAUAGUCCUAAUCCUUCAGCUCUUUAGGUGAUUCACACCCUUCAGCUCUCAAAAAUCCUCUGCUCAUUCUCAAAACUCAUAUUUACAUACUCUAAAGUAUUUACUGAGGCUAAGAGUCCCCCCCUUUUUUCCAUUUUAGAUUACUAAAUGCUUGGUAGUUCAUUUUUUAAAUUGUAUUUUAUUUUUUUUAUGUAGUAUUUUAAGUUUCGAAUGUUUACGUUGCAAACUAGUAUAAAACCACGUGUAGACACAGUCAUGUACGCUGUGAUGUAUAGAAAUGCAUUGUUUCCUUGUGGUAAGUGAGUGAGAUGCUGCCACGGAACUGAGACACUGAUGAUUGGUGCUAUUUUGGACUUUAAUCUGCUCCUUGGAAAGGUAGCUGAGAUGGGUUUUAUUUUUUAUUUUCAUGUUCUGAUUAAGGAAGGGGUUGGUUCUUUGACGUUUGGUUGUUGUAACUCGGUCUGGAUUGGCUUUGUUUUCCCCUUGUCGUUUUCUGUGCGGCUUUCUCAUUGGACUUAAGGAAAAUAUCAACUUCUUUCAUGGUAAUGUUUUACUAAAGGGGGGUUUAGGUGAGAAUAUUUAUGAGGAUACACCAUGUUGAUCGGAGCAAUCACAAAACUGCAAUCAUUAACACUAGUUAGCCUUUAAACCUGAGAUGUGCAAUCAAAGGAGCACCACAAGUCACUUUUUAGAACAUUUUACGGUUUUUGUUUAUGUUCUGAUUGACAGACAAUCUGGAAACCAAGAGUGCAUUUUUCCCCUCACGUGUUUGUUUAACAGAUCUCCUAAGCGAUUUUGCACACUUGUGUGUCAAGGCCCAGCCUGUUAGGGUUCAGGGUUUCAACUUUUCUUCACCAGCUGGAUAUGACUUCAUGCUAUAGUGAGUCAUGUGUGAUUAUCUCAUGUUAACAUGAGUCUGGAAUCACACAAUGCAUUUUAUCUUGUUUUAGAAAACCAUUUUCAGGGCACACAUGUAUCAUAAAGUGAACUCUGUUUUAAAAAUAUAUAUAUUUUUCAUUGUCUUUGAAUUAUUUAGUAAAUUAAUUGUUGACUGAACCUUUUUAUUAAACAACUAAAACCCCAAAGUUUUUUUAAAAUUUUAGCAACAAAAAAAAAUUGACAACUAGGGUUAAGGGCCUUGCUCAAGGGCACAUUGACAGAUUUUUCUCCUAGUUGUCUCGGGGAUUCAAACCAGCAACCUUUCAGUUACUGGCCCAAUGCUCUUAGCCUAGUGGUUAUCUGCCACCCUAGCUAGAGAUUUAAAACAUCAAAGUUAUGUCAGUAUUUGCAGUUUUGUUUUUGCUUCCCUUUUUUUAUAUUGUUAAAUAUUCUAAUUAAUAAUAACCAACUUGAAAGCCCACUUUAGUUGUCUUUUGUCUUCCAUUCUCUCUCGAUAUUGGGACCGAUUGAACCAGCAUGUUCUGUUCUUGUUAAUUGCGUGCUCUCUUUUCGUCAUUGUGGUUUUUGUUUUGUGAAGAAAGAAAAAAUAUCCUCUUGCAAUUCUUUCCUCAUAGACUACUUAAUAUGAAUGCUGUUUUGUACAUAGCAAAGUGAAUAGCGUAGGCAGGCUGUGUUGCGUGAGGUAUUCAGUAUUUACCACUAAGGUUGAAAAAAUAUAUAUACAGUAUGCCAGCUUUGGGAAAAUGAUUAUAACGAUGCGCUUAACUUACAGUAUCCCAUGUACUUUACUUUGGCAAUUUUAGAAGUAGUGCAAUAAAUAUGCAAGCUUGUAAUUUGGUGUUUUAUCUGUUGAUGUGUGUGGAGUCUUCUUUCCAGUGCUGUAGGAAACUUGUGCAAUUGUGCUUUGUUAGAGAAGCCUGACUGGUCUUGGAAUACAGUUUCAAAAAGUCAUGUGAUUUUUUUUUUUUUUUUUUUUUUUCUUCCAAGUUGUGGUUUUUAGCCAUUAGUGGCAAACAGCAGAGAGCCAAGUAUCCAGAGAGCCGAUCCAAAGUGUGGUUGUACAGUUCCUAUGGCUUCCAAGUGGAUAUUCCUUACAACGUAGUUGCGCCACGGCAAAAUCAUUAGUCACGGCAAAUGAAUAUGUAACUUGGAAAAAUAUUUCUGCCUGAAGCCCACUUUGAAGAUGCUAGAGCAGUCCACAUUGUUUUUCCCCCUUUGAAAACAAAACGAGUAACAAAGUACCACAGUUGUCUUCAAUUUUUUUCCCCCCAUUUUUUUCCCCCCGCCAAUUCUCACGAGCCCAAAUAUAAUGACACAACCUUUAAACUCUAAAUGUAGAUUUUUAUUUUUUGUUACAUAAAUAAACAAAUGAAUUGAAUUGAAUGUUAAGAAAUAUAUUGGUUUAUUUAAGAAAAUAAAGCCAUACAUUUACUCAAUAGAAUAGUAUUGUUUUAGAUUAUCUUUCUCAAAUGUUUUAUUGUCCCAUAUAAUAAUCUGUACUCUUUUUGGGGGGGGGGUACAAAAAUGUAUUUGGCGACCCCACUGCAGACCCCAGUAGGGGUCGCGACCCCAACUUUGAUUACCACUGGAAUAGUUCACCUAUUUACAUAACUUGUUCUGUGGGAGUGAACCAUUCCUCUUGUGGAGCAUUCAAGUGUGUCAUGGGGAGGGAAACAUGCAUUAUGACAAGCAGUUGUAUUUGCCUUUUGUUAGAGGGGGAAUCCCAACUUUCCAAAACCUACUUUAUUUAUUUCUCAACUCCUAAAAUAUGUGCGAACAGCACCAUUUUAAACCCAGAGUUUUUAGCAGCACAAGAUGACUUUUUAAAAAUGUAUUUUUUACCUUUUAUUUCACUAGGCAAGUCAGUUAAGAACAAAUUCUUAUUUUCAAUGACGGCCUAGGAACAGUGGGUUAAGGCCUACAUUAUAUUCACUGUUUAUAUGCAAUUUUUUGGGAAUGUAAAAUUCAUCAAUAGGAUAAUAAAUAAUUAAAAGAACAUUUGGGAUCUGACGAAUGAUUAGCCCAAUAGGCAACCCCAUGCUUCAUCCUAUUUAUUUGCACUUUGCUGCAUCAGUUGGGCUACAAGUGAUGUUUAUUGCUAGUACCUGAUAAUCAUUUUGGGGUAUAAUGUUCUUAAGUUGCCAGAACCGAGCUUCUCAGUCCAACAUAAAAAUGAUCUGACCCCCAAAACAAGGGGGUACAUAUUUUUCCAGAGGAGAAACUGCGUUGUUGGAGGAACCUCUUCCCCCCCCCCAAAAAUACUUUCCCACCAACACAGGCAAACACUAAGCUCUAUGACAUUUUAAAGUACAGUAGCUGUCCUUAAACGGCAAACACAGCCGGAGAUGAUUACUAUCAUGGAUAAAUCAAAGAAUAUUGCAGAUUUGUGAAGGAUGACGCAGUGUUUAAUUUACCCACAGAAGAACCACAUCCCUCUUUAAUUCAAUACUGAGGUCAGUUUUACCCACUGAGAUGCCAUAGAAAUGCCUUAUUAGCAGUUCUCAGAGAUUCAGGUUAAUCUCUAUGGAGUUUCAUUCUGGGAAAGUGGAAAUGCAGUCAAGGGGAAUCUGAAUCAAACUAAGAUUUGGUGAACGAUGGCAUUUUAACUGAAGAGGCAUGUGAUCUUAAGAUUGAGAAACUUCCCUCUAUGUUCUUGUGUAACUGGUGUGUGAAUUUUGUGGGCGUAGAAACGGUCUUCCCACUGCAGGAUUUGGGCUGUUGGGUUCAUGCCCAUUAUUCCCUGACAUCUGUGUGGCAGGAGGGUCUGGUCAGACAGAGCUGAGCCACUACUGAGUCCUGGCUCCCUGGUGCU
This is a long non-coding RNA of Oncorhynchus tshawytscha (Chinook salmon), 5103 nucleotides long. NCBI's taxonomy places the organism in Eukaryota, Metazoa, Chordata, Actinopteri, Salmoniformes, Salmonidae. The record is from Ensembl.